UAAAUUAUAGCUUAAGGGCAAGCAUUCCGGUUACGUUGGAAAGAUCACCAGUUUCGGUGUAGUUUAAUG
This 69-nucleotide transfer RNA is filed under the name Caridina propinqua. RNAcentral describes it as "tRNA-Val". Lineage: Eukaryota; Metazoa; Arthropoda; Malacostraca; Decapoda; Atyidae. The record is from RNAcentral.